UCUCAAUUUGGUGUGAUCUCACUGUAGUUGAAGACAGCUGUAUUUGUUCACUUCUUUUCGGCAAAGGAGAUUUUAUGGGGAUCAAAGAUUUUGUGGCACACGAAUAUGACUUGGGUUGAUGUGUUGGGGAUCAAAGUUAUGUAUUCUUAGUGUUGUUAGAUGGAUGAUGGACUUGGGUUGUUGAACUUGUAAACUUUGUUGAACAAGAUGGAUCUUGUAUGUAAACUUUGUUGAAAUCUUUAUAUUUCUUGAAUUA
Molecule: long non-coding RNA, 256 nt
Organism: Zingiber officinale
Lineage: Eukaryota; Viridiplantae; Streptophyta; Magnoliopsida; Zingiberales; Zingiberaceae
Exons: 2
Source: RefSeq, a predicted model, not a curated record